CUGGCCUCAACAAUACAUUUCAUUGUUUUCCAGGGAAACCAACCAUCAAAACCGGCACCAACCAUUAGGUGCUCACCUGGAUUCGUGCUCUCUGCCAUUGAUCUAUUAACCGAAGAUCAAUAUGCAAAUGUCAAGGCUACUCCAUUUGGUGAAAUUCUGAACCUAAAAGCUGAUGCUCUUGAGUCCAGGAAUUUGCCGGUAUUCCUUAUGAACAAGACUGACAAGGACACUCUAAUAAUCAACGUCGGCACUCAAGGUGGACUGAAAAUUACCCCGCAUGCUGUGCAUUGUGUCAUGGGCACUCCACUUGGUGGUCGUGACCCAUCGGUCUGUUCUGUCACCCAAAAGAAUGAGCUGCUUAGACUCAAGAACGAGCUGAGCGUGCCAGUCGAUCAGAAUAUAACCUACAAAACUCUGUGCGACUAUAUAAAGUUGAAGAGGCCUGAUGAUUUGUCCACAAGAUGUUUCAUUCUGAUUAUAUUCAACUGGUUACUCUUUCCUUCCACAAGGACAUAUAUAUCUGGUAGGGAGGCUGCUUGGACUGCAGACAUUGCUAAUAUUGGUGCGAUCGAUUGGUCCAAAGCUGUUGUUGAUUACAUGAGGGAUAGUGUUGCAACAUGGCACUCCAAGAAGAACAACAAUGGAGUAUUGUCCAUUUCUGGUUGUGUGCUCUUUUUAAUAAUUUACUAUUUGGACAAUCUCCUGAGUGUCAAUAUGUUGGAUGCGUCUCAAACACCACGCAUAGCUUUCUACAACACUGGGAAGAUGCAAGCUAUCUUAAGUGAGGAUAAGUCGAAGAACAAGCCAGACUCGGAGUCAUAUGGCAACCUACCGCAAGCCAUGCUCAACCUCAUGCCCAUUCUGUUCUGUUCAUUAGCAUGCUGGAGCAACUCAGGGACUGCGUGGAUCAACUACCUCAAUAGAAGCAGGCCGUGGCAUUUGCUGCUAUACGGAGCUUUUGCUACUUUUCUUGAUGGCCCAGCAGAACGGUCGAUUCAUGACAUUCCUGCUGCUACAGACAAUAUUGAAGUUGAUGGCACCAGUAUACAAUCCGAAGCCGACCGCAGUGUUCAGCGAAACGAUGGUGUGGAUCCCAGCAAGAAUCUUCCAUCGUCAGGUAUUGGUCAUGAUGGCACAUAA
Molecule: ribosomal RNA, 1140 nt
Filed under: Triticum aestivum (bread wheat)
Lineage: Eukaryota; Viridiplantae; Streptophyta; Magnoliopsida; Poales; Poaceae
Description: partial small subunit ribosomal RNA
Source: RNAcentral